Long non-coding RNA from Populus trichocarpa (black cottonwood), 962 nucleotides. RefSeq lists it as uncharacterized. NCBI's taxonomy places the organism in Eukaryota, Viridiplantae, Streptophyta, Magnoliopsida, Malpighiales, Salicaceae. The transcript is spliced from 2 exons. The record is from RefSeq and is a predicted model, not a curated record.
UCACCAACUACAUAUAAUAAUUCAGCCACGUCUUUUCUGAAGUAGCUAUCUUCGAAUGCAACUACCUAUCUAAUGAGAUAGGUACUAGCUAGCUAGGAAAUUACUAACGAAAUAAAUCGUACAUAACUGCAAUUAUUUCCCAUUACCUUGAGGAUGCAGGAUGGCCCCAUAGGCCGUAACCCAGUACACUCAUUUUUUCUCUCAUUCCCUGCCAUUAAAGCAAUCUCAUCAUGCAUGUUGGCUAUCAUGUUCUACACCUACAGCUUUAGCACUUUUUGAUGAUUUGAUCCCUUGCUGGAUUUCUUUCCUGUCCUCUUUCAGGAUACACAGUACUUUUGGGAGCCUUAGAUCCUCUACAAGAUGACGAUGAUGAUGCGAAGGAAAAUGGACAGCCACAUGAGAAAAAGAUUGAAAAACAUGAUGAGGAAUAUGGAAAUGGAGAGUAUCUAUGAAAAGCAAGUGACCAUAGGGGCCCAGACUGCUAAAAGCACCGCCAUCGCGCAACAUGUCAAGUUGCCAAUCCAUAAAACACUUGCUCGGUUUGGUUACCAGUAUGAACCCCUCAUUUCUAGAUAUUUUGUGCCCUACUUUCCUUACAAAACAGAGUAAAAAGAGAGGUAUGGAGGAGUGGUAGUGCUAUGGCAGAGCCGUAGAGGUACGAGAUGUUGAAAUGGAGGAAUAAAAUCUUUCAAGGAGAGAUAUGGCUCUGAAGAGUAUAUAGCCAUAUUUAUAACGAGCCAAGCUAAAGAUCUUCAAUUGUCAAGAGUCCAAUAAUUUUGAAGCAACACACGUACAGAACUUUUAAUCUCAAGUGCAAUCACCAUUUUGAUUAUAUAUAAAAAAAAAAACUGGCUUAUGAAAUACAUUGAGAGCUUUGCUAGGAUUUCUUAAGAGCAGGUGUUAGAAAAAAAAAUUGUAUGAAUCUUAAAUCAGUAAACUUAGAAUUGGAUCCAGAGAAAAAA